Molecule: ribosomal RNA, 450 nt
Filed under: uncultured bacterium
Lineage: Bacteria
Description: bacterial SSU rRNA
Rfam family: Bacterial small subunit ribosomal RNA
Source: RNAcentral
GUGGGGAAUUUUGGACAAUGGGGGCAACCCUGAUCCAGCCAUGCCGCGUGAGUGAAGAAGGCCUUCGGGUUGUAAAGCUCUUUCGGCCGGGACGAAAUCGCACUCUCUAAUACGGGGUGUGGAUGACGGUACCGGAAUAAGAAGCACCGGCUAACUACGUGCCAGCAGCCGCGGUAAUACGUAGGGUGCGAGCGUUAAUCGGAAUUACUGGGCGUAAAGCGUGCGCAGGCGGUUGUACAAGACAGGCGUGAAAUCCCCGGGCUUAACCUGGGAACUGCGCUUGUGACUGUACGACUAGAGUACGGCAGAGGGGGGUGGAAUUCCACGUGUAGCAGUGAAAUGCGUAGAGAUGUGGAGGAACACCGAUGGCGAAGGCAGCCCCCUGGGCCGAUACUGACGCUCAUGCACGAAAGCGUGGGGAGCAAACAGGAUUAGAUACCCGUGUAGUCC